CCCGCUCAGAAACUCAAAGGAAUUGACGGGGACCCGCACAAGCAGCGGAGCAUGUGGUUUAAUUCGAAGCAACGCGAAGAACCUUACCAGGUCUUGACAUCCCUCUGAAGUAGCCUUAGCCGGCUAUGUCCUUCGGGACAGAGGAGACAGGUGGUGCAUGGUUGUCGUCAGCUCGUGUCGUGAGAUGUUGGGUUAAGUCCCGCAACGAGCGCAACCCUUAUGUUUAGUUGUCAUCAGGUAAAGCUGGACCCUCUAGACAGACUGCCGUGGAUAACACGGAGGAAGGUGGGGAUGACGUCAAAUCAUCAUGCCCCUUAUGAUCUGGGCUACACACGUGCUACAAUGGUCGGUACAACGGGCAGCGAAGUCGUAAGAUGGAGCGAAUCCUAAAAAGCCGAUCCCAGUUCGGAUUGUGGGCUGAAACUCGCCCACAUGAAGUUGGAGUUGCUAGUAAUCGCGAAUCAGAAUGUCGCGGUGAAUGCGUUCCCGGGUCUU
RNAcentral lists this ribosomal RNA (495 nucleotides) under uncultured Fusibacter sp. RNAcentral describes it as "bacterial SSU rRNA". It matches the Rfam family "Bacterial small subunit ribosomal RNA", at positions 888 to 1382 of the family's 1533-position model. Lineage: Bacteria; Bacillati; Bacillota; Clostridia; Eubacteriales; Fusibacteraceae. The record is from RNAcentral.